GAUGAACGCUGGCGGCGUGCCUAAUACAUGCAAGUCGAGCGAACGGACGAGAAGCUUGCUUCUCUGAUGUUAGCGGCGGACGGGUGAGUAACACGUGGAUAACCUACCUAUAAGACUGGGAUAACUUCGGGAAACCGGAGCUAAUACCGGAUAAUAUUUUGAACCGCAUGGUUCAAAAGUGAAAGACGGUCUUGCUGUCACUUAUAGAUGGAUCCCCGCUGCAUUAGCUAGUUGGUAAGGUAACGGCUUACCAAGGCAACGAUGCAUAGCCGACCUGAGAGGGUGAUAGGCCACACUGGAACUGAGACCCGGUCCAGACUCCUACGGGAGGCAGAAGUAGGGAAUCUUCCGCAAUGGGCGAAAGCCUGACGGAGCAACGCCGCGUGAGUGAUGAAGGUCUUCGGAUCGUAAAACUCUGUUAUUAGGGAAGAACAUAUGUGUAAGUAACUGUGCACAUCUUGACGGUACCUAAUCAGAAAGCCACGGCUAACUACGUG
RNAcentral lists this ribosomal RNA (497 nucleotides) under uncultured bacterium. RNAcentral's name for it is "partial 16S ribosomal RNA". It matches the Rfam family "Bacterial small subunit ribosomal RNA", at positions 28 to 507 of the family's 1533-position model. The record is from RNAcentral.